Molecule: long non-coding RNA, 338 nt
Organism: Bubalus bubalis (water buffalo)
Lineage: Eukaryota; Metazoa; Chordata; Mammalia; Artiodactyla; Bovidae
Exons: 2
Source: RefSeq, a predicted model, not a curated record
GUGUGCUAUAGUCCAUGGGGUCGCAAAGGGUGGGAUACGAUUGAGCAACUGAACUGAAACGCUGAAGCUUCUCCAAGUGGAGAAGUUAACUGUUAAUGAUGGCAUGCUGCCCACAAGCAUGGAGACCCCAGAUCAGCUGGACUUGAAGGUUGAUGAUGUUGACUCCUGCUUACCUCACGAACCUAUUAGAAGAAUGUCCUCAAGCUGAUCACACUCUCUUUGGAUAAUUAAUAUAAAACUUGUCACUGUCUUCCCCAAGCUGGGACACAUGGUCUUGAGGACAGGGGCCGCUGUGCGCCUCUUUGCCUGGUAAAGCAAUAAAGCGAUCCAUCUCUUCU